GACGAACCGUGCGAACGUUGUUCGGAAUCACUGGGCUUAAAGGGCGCGUAGGCGGUCUGCCAAGUCAGGGGUGAAAGCCUCCAGCUUAACUGGAGAAGUGCCUUUGAUACUGGCGGACUCGAGUGAGGUAGGGGUAGUGGGAACUUCCGGUGGAGCGGUGAAAUGCGUUGAUAUCGGAAGGAACGCCGGUGGCGAAAGCGCACUACUGGACCUCUUCUGACGCUGAGGCGCGAAAGCCAGGGGAGCAAACAGG
Molecule: ribosomal RNA, 253 nt
Filed under: uncultured bacterium
Lineage: Bacteria
Description: partial 16S ribosomal RNA
Rfam family: Bacterial small subunit ribosomal RNA
Source: RNAcentral